This 385-nucleotide long non-coding RNA is filed under the name Brachypodium distachyon (stiff brome). RNAcentral's name for it is "long non-coding RNA (BDIS_LNC001139)". Lineage: Eukaryota; Viridiplantae; Streptophyta; Magnoliopsida; Poales; Poaceae. The record is from RNAcentral.
AUUGAUAGAGUUAGAUGACAUUUCUCUUCUGGCUCGAUAAUUUUUCAUUAUUGGCCUUGUACAUUUUUUCUUUUCAUAUAAUAUAAUAUAUUUGCAGUGGAUGAUCCACUGUUUUCCCUCAAAAAAAAACUAAAAACAACUAAUGCAAAAAAAAAGGUUCAUCGUUGGUCGCCGUAGUAAUCUGUUAUCCAGCAGAAGAAGAAAUGUAUGGUUUACAAAACUUGUAAGUAGAUUAUCAUGUAUUAACAAAUAGUUGCAUUGUGAAUCAAAGCGUAAGAAAAGGGUGGAAAGUUGUGCCAACAAGAAAACUUCCAUGUGAGAGAACUCUGAUCGCGAUAGUAAACCAGGAGCUACCACGUGAUAUCACUCUAAAAUAGGGUGUGCA